RNAcentral lists this ribosomal RNA (465 nucleotides) under Vreelandella stevensii. RNAcentral's name for it is "partial 16S ribosomal RNA". It matches the Rfam family "Bacterial small subunit ribosomal RNA", at positions 338 to 795 of the family's 1533-position model. The record is from RNAcentral. Lineage: Bacteria; Pseudomonadati; Pseudomonadota; Gammaproteobacteria; Oceanospirillales; Halomonadaceae.
CCUACGGGGGGCAGCAGUGGGGAAUAUUGGACAAUGGGCGAAAGCCUGAUCCAGCCAUGCCGCGUGUGUGAAGAAGGCCUUCGGGUUGUAAAGCACUUUCAGUGGGGAAGAAAGCCUUGGGGCUAAUACCCUCGAGGAAGGACAUCACCGACAGAAGAAGCACCGGCUAACUCCGUGCCAGCAGCCGCGGUAAUACGGAGGGUGCGAGCGUUAAUCGGAAUUACUGGGCGUAAAGCGCGCGUAGGCGGUCUGAUAAGCCGGUUGGGAAAGCCCCGGGCUCAACCUGGGAACGGCAUCCGGAACUGUCAGGCUAGAGUGCAGGAGAGGAAGGUAGAAUUCCCGGUGUAGCAGUGAAAUGCGUAGAGAUCGGGAGGAAUACCAGUGGCGAAGGCGGCCUUCUGGACUGACACUGACGCUGAGGUGCGAAAGCGUGGGUAGCAAACAGGAUUAGAUACCCGAGUAGUC